AAUGAAGAGCCUGAUUAAAGGAUUAUUUUGAUAGAAUAAAUUAUGUAUAACCUACCUUCAUUA
Molecule: transfer RNA, 63 nt
Filed under: Agulla arizonica
Lineage: Eukaryota; Metazoa; Arthropoda; Insecta; Raphidioptera; Raphidiidae
Description: tRNA-Ile
Source: RNAcentral